UGGGGAAUUUUGGACAAUGGGGGAAACCCUGAUCCAGCCAUCCCGCGUGUGCGAUGAAGGCCUUCGGGUUGUAAAGCACUUUUGGCAGGAAAGAAACGUCGCGGGUUAAUACCCCGCGAAACUGACGGUACCUGCAGAAUAAGCACCGGCUAACUACGUGCCAGCAGCCGCGGUAAUACGUAGGGUGCAAGCGUUAAUCGGAAUUACUGGGCGUAAAGCGUGCGCAGGCGGUUCGGAAAGAAAGAUGUGGAAUCCCAGAGCUUAACUUUGGAACUGCAUUUUUAACUACCGGGCUAGAGUGUGUCAGAGGGAGGUGGAAUUCCGCGUGUAGCAGUGAAAUGCGUAGAUAUGCGGAGGAACACCGAUGGCGAAGGCAGCCUCCUGGGAUAACACUGACGCUCAUGCACGAAAGCGUGGGGAGCAAACAGGAUUAGAUACCCUGGUAGUCCACGCCCUAAACGAUGUCAACUAGCUGUUGGGGCCUUCGGGCCUUGGUAGCGCAGCUAACGCGUGAAGUUGACCGCCU
This 526-nucleotide ribosomal RNA is filed under the name uncultured bacterium. RNAcentral's name for it is "partial 16S ribosomal RNA". It matches the Rfam family "Bacterial small subunit ribosomal RNA", at positions 355 to 874 of the family's 1533-position model. The record is from RNAcentral.